GAUGAAGAACGUAGCGAAAUGCGAUACUUGGUGUGAAUUGCGGAAUCCCGUGAACCAUCGAGUCUUUGAACGCAAGUUGCGCCCGAAGCCAUUAGGCCAAGGGCACGCCUGCCUGGGCGUCACACGUCGUUGCCCCCCCAUCUACUCCUUCGGGAUUGCGGGGGGCGGAUGAUGGCCUCCCGUGCGCCUCGCCGCGCGGUUGGCAUAAAUGCCAAGUCCUCGGCGACGCACGCCACGACAAUCGGUGGUUGCGAAACCUCGGUUGCCCGUCGUGUGCGGUCGUCGCGCAUCGAGGGCUCGAAAAAAUUGCCGGGUUCCGGCUCGGCUUUCAACGCGACCCCAGGUCAGGCGGGGUUACCCGCUGAAUUUAAGCAUAUCAAUAAGCGGAGGA
RNAcentral lists this unclassified non-coding RNA (391 nucleotides) under soil metagenome. RNAcentral describes it as "partial contains 5.8S ribosomal RNA, internal transcribed spacer 2, and large subunit ribosomal RNA". The stretch from base 1 to 122 matches the Rfam family "5.8S ribosomal RNA", at positions 35 to 154 of the family's 154-position model. The record is from RNAcentral.